This 251-nucleotide ribosomal RNA is filed under the name uncultured bacterium. RNAcentral describes it as "partial 16S ribosomal RNA". It matches the Rfam family "Bacterial small subunit ribosomal RNA", at positions 103 to 354 of the family's 1533-position model. The record is from RNAcentral.
CGGGUGAGUAACGCGUGGAAAACCUGCCGUAUACUGGGGGAUAACACUUAGAAAUAGGUGCUAAUACCGCAUAAGCGCACAGCUUCGCAUGAAGUGGUGUGAAAAACUCUGGUGGUAUACGAUGGUUCCGCGUCUGAUUAGCUCGUUGGCGGGGUAAUGGCUCACCAAGGCGACGAUCAGUAGCCGGCCUGAGAGGGUGAACGGCCACAUUGGGACUGAGACACGGCCCAAACUCCUACGGAAGGCAGCAG